AAGAAGUUAGUUUAAAUAAAACAAUUAUAUGUCAUAUAAAAAUUAUAAAGAAGUUAUACUUCUUG
This 65-nucleotide transfer RNA is filed under the name Caliscelis shandongensis. Its description in RNAcentral is "tRNA-Asp". Lineage: Eukaryota; Metazoa; Arthropoda; Insecta; Hemiptera; Caliscelidae. RNAcentral also lists the same sequence under 1 other name. The record is from RNAcentral.